This 715-nucleotide ribosomal RNA is filed under the name Corynebacterium pseudotuberculosis. RNAcentral's name for it is "bacterial SSU rRNA". It matches the Rfam family "Bacterial small subunit ribosomal RNA", at positions 216 to 940 of the family's 1533-position model. Lineage: Bacteria; Bacillati; Actinomycetota; Actinomycetes; Mycobacteriales; Corynebacteriaceae. The record is from RNAcentral.
CGGUACGAGAUGAGCCCGCGGCCUAUCAGCUUGUUGGUGGGGUAAUGGCCUACCAAGGCGUCGACGGGUAGCCGGCCUGAGAGGGUGGACGGCCACAUUGGGACUGAGAUACGGCCCAGACUCCUACGGGAGGCAGCAGUGGGGAAUAUUGCACAAUGGGCGCAAGCCUGAUGCAGCGACGCCGCGUGAGGGAUGACGGCCUUCGGGUUGUAAACCUCUUUCGACAGGGACGAAGCUUUUUGUGACGGUACCUGUAUAAGAAGCACCGGCUAACUACGUGCCAGCAGCCGCGGUAAUACGUAGGGUGCGAGCGUUGUCCGGAAUUACUGGGCGUAAAGAGCUCGUAGGUGGUUUGUCGCGUCGUCUGUGAAAUUCCGGGGCUUAACUCCGGGCGUGCAGGCGAUACGGGCAUAACUUGAGUGCUGUAGGGGAGACUGGAAUUCCUGGUGUAGCGGUGGAAUGCGCAGAUAUCAGGAGGAACACCGAUGGCGAAGGCAGGUCUCUGGGCAGUAACUGACGCUGAGGAGCGAAAGCAUGGGGAGCGAACAGGAUUAGAUACCCUGGUAGUCCAUGCCGUAAACGGUGGGCGCUAGGUGUGAGGGUCUUCCACGACUUUCGUGCCGUAGCUAACGCAUUAAGCGCCCCGCCUGGGGAGUACGGCCGCAAGGCUAAAACUCAAAGGAAUUGACGGGGGCCCGCACAAGCGGCGGAGCAU